RNAcentral lists this ribosomal RNA (98 nucleotides) under uncultured bacterium. RNAcentral describes it as "partial 16S ribosomal RNA". The record is from RNAcentral.
AAGCUCGGUUGUAACCCUUCAGUUGGGACGAAGCUCCGACGGUGAAUAGCCGCCUGGAGUGACGGUACCUUCAGAAGAAGCCCCGGCUAACUACGUGC